This is a long non-coding RNA of Tarenaya hassleriana, 319 nucleotides long. RefSeq lists it as uncharacterized. The record is from RefSeq and is a predicted model, not a curated record. NCBI's taxonomy places the organism in Eukaryota, Viridiplantae, Streptophyta, Magnoliopsida, Brassicales, Cleomaceae. The transcript is spliced from 3 exons.
CCGAUAAGGUGUAAAAGUAUAUAACUCUGUUCACGAGCUACUCCUACUUACCAAGAUUUGAUCGACUUCAGAGAGAAACUCCACUUGGAAUCAUCUAAUACGAGCAUUCAGUUACAUGGAAAAGUUCUCCGGCUGUAUGUGCAUCCACGGCACUGAAAGGAUCAUCAAGGAGAUAAAUAUCAGCAUCAUUAUAUACAGCACGAGCGAGCUGAAUCCUUUGCUUCUGUCCUCCACUCAAUUUCCAUCGGCUUUCCGUAAAGAAUGUUGUCUCGGAUAUUACCACUCUGGAUCCAAGAAGUUUGAGAUACAUAUGCAAUCG